AUGGAGCUAAGCACAGCCACUCUCCUGUCUAUCUCUGUCGCCUCACUGGCGAUUCUUGUGUCGUUGCUUCGCCGCAAAUCGGCACCAAGCUCCAAGAGGAGGCGGCCUCCUGGUCCACGGUGUCUCCCCUUCAUCGGAAGCCUCCUCCACCUCCUUACCUCGGAGCCGCAGGUCGCUCUCCGGGACCUGGCGAAGAAGCACGGGCCGGUGAUGUACCUGCGGCUGGGCCACGUCGACACCGUCGUGAUCUCCUCCCCGGCGGCGGCACAGGAGGUGCUCCGGGACAACAGCCUCACGUUCGCGUCGCGGCCGAGCCUUGUGGUCACGGAGAUCCUAUGCUACGGGAACACUGACAUCGCCUUUGCGCCGUACGGCGCGUACUGGAGGACGCUGCGAAAGAUCUGCAUGGUGGAGCUGCUGAGCGCGCGGAAGGUGAGGCAGUUCGCGCCCAUCAGGGAUAGUGAGAUCCUUUCCCUUGUUAGGAAUGUCCGUGCUGCCGCCGGAGGUGGCGAGCCAGUAAAUCUCGGCGGACUGCUCGUGUCUUGCUCGAACACGAUCAGCGCAAAGGCGACGUUCGGUGAGGGAUGCGACGCCGACCUCCAGGAGCAGUUCUUGUCUGCGAUCGGCGUGGCACUGGAGUACAGCGGGGGGUUCUGCGUCGGGGACCUCUUCCCGUCCCUGUGGUUCGUGGAUGUCGUCACUGGAGUGAGACGCCGGCUCUGGCGAGCGCACAGGGUCCUCGACGCCGUCUUUGAGAAGAUCAUCACUAGGUGCGAGGCGCGGCGGAAGGAGAAGAAGUCAACGGCGACGACCGGCAGCGGAGAUGAUGACCUUCUGAGCGUCAUGCUCAGGAUCAAGGACGAGGACGGCCUUGAGUUCCCCAUCAGCACCACAAACAUCAAGGCAAUCAUAGUGGAUAUGUUCACGGGAGGAACCGAGACAACAUCAUCAGCAGCUGAGUGGAUCAUGUCGGAGCUCAUGCGGAACCCGGAGGUAAUGGCGAAGGCGCAGGCCGAGGUGCGACGAAAAUUCGACAACAAGAACCCACAAGACCACGAGAGCCUCAUAGAGGGGCUGUGCUACACGAGGAUGGUGGUGAAGGAGGGCAUGAGGUUGCACCCGGUGCUGCCGCUCCUGCUCCCACGUGUAUGCCGGGAGACCUGCGACGUUGGCGGAUUCGAGGUCACGGAGGGCACCAGGGUCAUGGUUAACGGGUGGGCGAUAGCGAGGAGUCCCGAGCAUUGGCAGGACGCCGAGGUGUUCAGGCCGGAGAGGUUCGUGGAUAGCACGGCGACAGACUACACCGGCACGCGGUACGAGUACUUGCCGUUCGGCGGUGGGAGGAGGAUGUGCCCCGGCGGUAACUUUGCGAUGGCCACGCUGGAGCUCACUGUGGCACGGCUUCUCUACUACUUCGACUGGAGCCUCCCCAACGGGAUUCGACCGGAGGAGCUCGACAUGGACAUGAUCGUCGGUGCAACGGCAAGAAGAAGGAACCAACUGCACCUAAUUGCAGCGCCCUAUAAUGUCCCAAUUGAUCUUUAA
RNAcentral lists this ribosomal RNA (1545 nucleotides) under Triticum aestivum (bread wheat). RNAcentral's name for it is "partial small subunit ribosomal RNA". Lineage: Eukaryota; Viridiplantae; Streptophyta; Magnoliopsida; Poales; Poaceae. The record is from RNAcentral.